This 403-nucleotide ribosomal RNA is filed under the name uncultured bacterium. Its description in RNAcentral is "partial 16S ribosomal RNA". It matches the Rfam family "Bacterial small subunit ribosomal RNA", at positions 28 to 526 of the family's 1533-position model. The record is from RNAcentral.
GACGAACGCUGGCGGCGUGCCUAAUACAUGCAAGUCGAACGCAGUGGGGACGGGUGAGUAACACGUGGGUAACCUCCCAUCAGAGGGGAUAACACUUGGAAACAGGUGCUAAACCGAUACUGAUGGAUGGACACGCGGGGCAUUAGCUAGUUGGUGAGGUAACGGCUCACAAAGGCCACGAGGCCACGCCGACCUGAGAGGGUGUGCGGCCACAUUGGGACUGAUACACGGCCCAUACUCCUACGGGAGGCAUCCGUAGGAAAUCGUCGGCAAUGGACGAAAGGCUGACCGAGCAACGCCGCGUGAGUGAAGAAGUUUUUCGGAUCGUAAAACUCUGUUGUUAGAGAAGCGGUAUCUAACCAGAAAGCCACGGCUAACUACGUGCCAGCCGCCGCGGUAAUUC